AUUGUCCUGGCAACAACACGGCUCUUUCUCUAUUGUACCCCCAUGGCUAGCACUAAACAAGAGCAUGCAAUACAUUUCCUAUUUCAAAAUUGUGGAGUUUUAGACAGUAAACCUUAAGAUAAAGUUUGACUCUCCCUCAUUUCCCUUCCUGACCCAAUAAUGAUUAAAUAGAGACACUGGUAAAUAUCUCAUGAUGGAAUUUGAGGGCCAAAGAUUUCUCUUUAUUUGCUAGCCUAAGGAAGGACGAUGUCAUAUAAAGCCAGUAUUAAUUUUUAAAUGAUUGCCUCAAUUACAUAGCAGCAGCCUGGACUCACAAGGAAUAUAAUGUAAUAGAAAGUCCAUUAGAUUUCUCUUCAGUCAAAAGUCCUGGAUUCCAGGACUUAAUCUCUUCUACCUCUGUCAUUUACCCAAUGUACAAACUAGUAUUAACUUGAGCAAAUAACUUCACCUCUUUGGGCCUCAAUUACUUCAUCUUUACUAUCAAGGUAAUUUCCCACGCUAAAAGCCUUAGAUUCUGGUACUGAUAACCUAAUUCUCAUAAUACUGGAUUUGUCCUCUGCCACUAACAAGGUAAAUUUGCCAACUCUGCUAGAAUAUAUUUCUGCUGAGGCAGUUCCUGCCAACACAAUGGUAAACAAGGGCAGAAAGCAUAAAACAAGUAAAACAUAUGAUAAAUAGAAGGAGACAUAGACUCUAGCUAGACAGAAGGAAAUUUCACUAAAGGAAGUAAUACCAAGAUUCUUGCUGGGUGACAAGGAGAUUAUUGUGAAGCCCACAAAGGACAAGGACACUGUUUCUGGAUGUAUUGUAAUAAUGCAAUAUGUGUAAAGGAGUUGACUACAAGUUAAUUCUUCUGUUCUUCUUACUAAUGUAUUUUUCCCAUAGCUAUCUUUCUUUUUUAGUAAGAGAUGAAAGAUGAAAGAUGAAAACCACUCUUGGCGGUUAUGAAUUCUAAUGCAGAAUAGAGAAUUCUUGAUAAUGCAACAUACUACUGGUGACAUCGAAAGACAACUACAGACCAAAAGGCAAAAUCAAUAUGCUUCUGUAAUUACUCACCAGAACCCAACAGUUGGGUAUGUACUGUUUCAUGGAAAAUGAUGACUGCAGGACCCAGAGUAG
This is a long non-coding RNA of Antechinus flavipes (yellow-footed antechinus), 1119 nucleotides long. RefSeq lists it as uncharacterized. NCBI's taxonomy places the organism in Eukaryota, Metazoa, Chordata, Mammalia, Dasyuromorphia, Dasyuridae. The transcript is spliced from 3 exons. The record is from RefSeq and is a predicted model, not a curated record.